CCAGGGGUGACAGAGUGGCCAAUUGUACUAGACUGUAAAUCUAGCGGCGUAAGCCUCCGGGGGUUCGAAUCCCUCCCCCUGGA
RNAcentral lists this transfer RNA (83 nucleotides) under Candidatus Woesebacteria bacterium. RNAcentral describes it as "tRNA-Tyr". It matches the Rfam family "tRNA". Rfam says of the family: Transfer RNA (tRNA) molecules are approximately 80 nucleotides in length. Their secondary structure includes four short double-helical elements and three loops (D, anti-codon, and T loops). Further hydrogen bonds mediate the characteristic L-shaped molecular structure. tRNAs have two regions of fundamental functional importance: the anti-codon, which is responsible for specific mRNA codon recognition, and the 3' end, to which the tRNAs corresponding amino acid is attached (by aminoacyl-tRNA synthetases). tRNAs cope with the degeneracy of the genetic code in two manners: having more than one tRNA (with a specific anti-codon) for a particular amino acid; and 'wobble' base-pairing, i.e. permitting non-standard base-pairing at the 3rd anti-codon position. Lineage: Bacteria; Candidatus Woeseibacteriota. The record is from RNAcentral. RNAcentral also lists the same sequence under 2 other names.